UACGUAGGGACCAAGCGUUGUUCGGAUUUACUGGGCUUAAAGGGCGCGUAGGCGGGCAAGCAAGUCCGGGGUGAAAGCCCCCAGCUCAACUGGGGAAGUGCCUUGGAAACUGCUGGUCUCGAGGGAGGUAGGGGCCUGUGGAACUUCGGGUGGAGCGGUGAAAUGCGUUGAUAUCCGAAGGAACGCCGGCGGCGAAAGCGACGGGCUGGACCUCUUCUGACGCUGAGGCGCGAAAGCCAGGGGAGCAAACGGG
Molecule: ribosomal RNA, 253 nt
Filed under: uncultured bacterium
Lineage: Bacteria
Description: partial 16S ribosomal RNA
Rfam family: Bacterial small subunit ribosomal RNA
Source: RNAcentral